RNAcentral lists this long non-coding RNA (455 nucleotides) under Bos taurus (domestic cattle). RNAcentral describes it as "long non-coding RNA NONBTAT001019". Lineage: Eukaryota; Metazoa; Chordata; Mammalia; Artiodactyla; Bovidae. The record is from RNAcentral.
AAAUGAGUAUUACCCUGCUUGCUAUCUAUUCCAGAGCUGGUGAAAAGUUUCCAAGUGGUUUGGAGCUCAGGAGUCAGUCUAAAAUUAUAACGCUAAUACAAAAGUUCAGCCUCAGAGCAUUUCUUUGUGACAGCUGUGAAUUUAUAUGAAGAAAUCUUACUGAUAAAAAGAGCACAAUUACAAAUGGGUCAUUUGUUUGUGCUCUCAAGAGUAUUUUUAUAAACUUAUGUUGAUACGUAUUCCCUGGAAUAUCCUAAAAAAACAUUUGCUUACCUCUAAUAAUGUUGUUUAUAAAUGACCCAUUUCCAGAUGUUCCUUCAGGGUGGUAUUUGCAUAAUAAUAUAUGACCAUGCUUCAUCCCACCCCCACAAAUAAUUAACAAUGCUAAGAACAGGAUAUGUUUGAUAAAUGAGGAAGAAACACUAAAUCCAUGUAUUCUACUCUGGAAAUUUCAU